RNAcentral lists this microRNA (20 nucleotides) under Cucumis melo (muskmelon). Its description in RNAcentral is "cme-miR166i". Its record names the gene cme-miR166i. Lineage: Eukaryota; Viridiplantae; Streptophyta; Magnoliopsida; Cucurbitales; Cucurbitaceae. The record is from miRBase by way of RNAcentral.
UCGGACCAGGCUUCAUUCUC